GUUAUAUGGUCAAGUGAAGAAGCGCAUACGGUGGAUGCCUUGGCAGUCAGAGGCGAUGAAAGACGUGGUAGCCUGCGAAAAGCUUCGGGGAGUCGGCAAACAGACUUUGAUCCGGAGAUCUCUGAAUGGGGGAACCCACCUAGGAU
This 146-nucleotide ribosomal RNA is filed under the name Pseudomonas aeruginosa WC55. RNAcentral's name for it is "partial 23S ribosomal RNA". It matches the Rfam family "Bacterial large subunit ribosomal RNA", at positions 1 to 138 of the family's 2925-position model. The record is from RNAcentral. Lineage: Bacteria; Pseudomonadati; Pseudomonadota; Gammaproteobacteria; Pseudomonadales; Pseudomonadaceae.